GGGUGAUUAGCUCAGCUGGUUAGAGUACCUGCGUGACAUGCAGGGGGCCACUGGUUCAAGUCCAGUAUCACCCACCA
RNAcentral lists this transfer RNA (77 nucleotides) under Clostridiaceae bacterium. RNAcentral describes it as "tRNA-Val". It matches the Rfam family "tRNA". From Rfam's summary of the family: Transfer RNA (tRNA) molecules are approximately 80 nucleotides in length. The record is from RNAcentral. Lineage: Bacteria; Bacillati; Bacillota; Clostridia; Eubacteriales; Clostridiaceae.